AAUUGUGUAUGUUCUAUAUUGUAUGGUUUUACUUGUUCAAACCAUUUUAUUCCUAAUAUUAUAUCUGCUUUUUGCAUUUCUUCCUUUAUUUCAAAUUCUAUUUUUAUUUUUCUGACUCCUAGGAGUGCCUCUCGAUCUAGUGCCUCUGGCGACGAGUUCGCCUGAAAGUGCUAACCUGGAGUGCCUCUCGAUCUAGUCUCUCUCUCCCUUCGCUACUCUCCACCUCUCUCUCUGUUCGAUGUGUGUGCUGCGAGAUUUCUGAGUGUAGUAUGUGGGUGUACGGUGGUGAAUCAAAGAGAAUCAAGUGAUUGAGUAUCUCCUUUUUCGUUUUAUCCCUGAUAUGUGUGUAUUGAUGUAUGAAGAAAAGGGUAUGUCUGUUCAAUCAUGUUGCUGGGUGGAAAAUUUUUUGUGUAUGGGUAGGUAUUCUGGGAAGGUCUUGUAUGCAUAUGGGUUUCGUGAGUGUAUGUGAGGUGUCUUAUUUUUUGUUGUUUAUGUGUUGGUUAAAAGGAAUCAACAAUGUGAGGGGUGGUGACGUGAGUGGGGGAUGGGGUAGUGGUAGGGUAGGUGAGGUGUAAGUUGGUUAGAAUAAAGUGAAAAAUGGCUAUUCUUGAUUGGGAAGGUUGUUAUAACUUUGUUAUUUUUUGUCUUUUUGUAGGGUAUAAUUAUAUGGACGAGGGUACACAGUAGAAUAAGGUAAAUAGGCAAAAAAUAUCUUUUGGAGGGACAAAAUUACGUGUCUACAGCAUGCCCCCUUUGAAUGUAAAUACAAAGUAUUUUCAGACAAAGAAGUAGACAAUGAGACAGAAUUUUAUCCCAACCAUUAGUCAAAAGAAUGAAACAGAAGGAGGGAGGGAGGCCAAGUCUUGAUAUAGCCUAUCCUACCUGCCCAAGUUAUAAGGGAAUCAAGUCUCGGGUAUCUCAAAGGAUUGGAAAGAGAAGGACUAUACCGAGUUGGAGAGUCGAGUGAGGUUCCAUCGAGGUUUUGGUCGCGGCUCUGUCAUUACAUCAAAAAUGACAAAAUUACAAGAGUUCAAAAGAUAAAUAAAAUUACAAAAGUCCUAUCUAUGCAGCUUCUUUUGAACUCUUGACUUGAGUUUCAUCACCCUAUUCUUUAGGCGGGCUCCUGACUUGCAAUUUCUUCAACUUGUUGACUACUUUAAGUUUCUUCACUCUGUUCUCCAAGUGGGCUCCUGACUUGCUAUUUUUCAAUCUGUUAACUUUCAACUUAUUUGCCCUGCUCUUCAGGCGGGAUCCUGACUUUCCGUUUCAUCAACUUUCAAUUACAUCACCCUGUUCUUCAGGCGGACGCCUGAGCUUCAAUUUUAUCACCCCAUUUUUCAGAUGGGCUCCUGACUUUCAAUUUCAUCACCCUAUUCUUCAGGCGGGCUCCUAAACAAAAAUCAAAACUAGAACGAAAAUUAAUCAAAAUCAAAACUAUAACUAAAAAUAUCCCACACAAGGAUUAUCAUAAGGCAAUAUUUCAUUUUUGAAAGCGUGGUGCCAUUUUUCAGGAGGGACCCAAACAAAAAGUAAAAUCUCAUUUUUUAGGAGGGUCCUGAACAGAAAGUAAAAUCUCAUUUUUCGGGAGGGUCCUGAACAGAAAAUAAAAUCCCAUUUUUCAGGAAGGCCCUGAACAGAAAGUAAAAGCCCAUUUUUUAGGAGGGUCCUGAAUAGAAAGUAAAAGCCCAUUUUUUAGGAGGGUCCUGAACAUAAAGUGAAAUCCCAUUUUUCAAGAGGGUCCUGAAUAUAAAGUAAAAUCCCAUUUUUCAGGAGGAUCCUGAACAGAAAGUAAAAUCUUAUUUUUCAGGAGGGUCCUGAACAUAAAGUAAAAUUCCAAUUUCCAGAAGGGUCCUGAACAUAAAGUAAAAUCCCAUUUUCCAAGAGGGUCCUGAACAGAAAGCAAAAUCCCAUUUUUCAGGAGGGGCCUGAACAGAAAAUAAAAUCCUAUUUUUCAGGAGGGUCCUGAACAGAAAAUAAAAUCCUAUUUUUCAGGAGGGUCCUGAACAGAAAAUAAAAUCCUAUUUUUCAGGAGGGUCCUGAACAGAAAAUAAAAUCCUAUUUUUCAGGAGGGUCCUGAACAGAAAAUAAAAUCCUAUUUUUCAGGAGGGUCCUGAACAGAAAAUAAAAUCCUAUUUUUCAGGAGGGUCCUGAACAGAAAAUAAAAUCCUAUUUUUCAGGAGGGUCCUGAACAGAAAAUAAAAUCCUAUUUUUCAGGAGGGUCCUGAACAGAAAAUAAAAUCCUAUUUUUCAGGAGGGUCCUGAACAGAAAAUAAAAUCCUAUUUUUCAGGAGGGUCCUGAACAGAAAAUAAAAUCCUAUUUUUCAGGAGGGUCCUGAACAGAAAAUAAAAUCCUAUUUUUCAGGAGGGUCCUGAACAGAAAAUAAAAUCCUAUUUUUCAGGAGGGUCCUGAACAGAAAAUAAAAUCCUAUUUUUCAGGAGGGUCCUGAACAGAAAAUAAAAUCCUAUUUUUCAGGAGGGUCCUGAACAGAAAAUAAAAUCCUAUUUUUCAGGAGGGUCCUGAACAGAAAAUAAAAUCCUAUUUUUCAGGAGGGUCCUGAACAGAAAAUAAAAUCCUAUUUUUCAGGAGGGUCCUGAACAGAAAAUAAAAUCCUAUUUUUCAGGAGGGUCCUGAACAGAAAAUAAAAUCCUAUUUUUCAGGAGGGUCCUGAACAGAAAAUAAAAUCCUAUUUUUCAGGAGGGUCCUGAACAGAAAAUAAAAUCCUAUUUUUCAGGAGGGUCCUGAACAGAAAAUAAAAUCCUAUUUUUCAGGAGGGUCCUGAACAGAAAAUAAAAUCCUAUUUUUCAGGAGGGUCCUGAACAGAAAAUAAAAUCCUAUUUUUCAGGAGGGUCCUGAACAGAAAAUAAAAUCCUAUUUUUCAGGAGGGUCCUGAACAGAAAAUAAAAUCCUAUUUUUCAGGAGGGUCCUGAACAGAAAAUAAAAUCCUAUUUUUCAGGAGGGUCCUGAACAGAAAAUAAAAUCCUAUUUUUCAGGAGGGUCCUGAACAGAAAAUAAAAUCCUAUUUUUCAGGAGGGUCCUGAACAGAAAAUAAAAUCCUAUUUUUCAGGAGGGUCCUGAACAGAAAAUAAAAUCCUAUUUUUCAGGAGGGUCCUGAACAGAAAAUAAAAUCCUAUUUUUCAGGAGGGUCCUGAACAGAAAAUAAAAUCCUAUUUUUCAGGAGGGUCCUGAACAGAAAAUAAAAUCCUAUUUUUCAGGAGGGUCCUGAACAGAAAAUAAAAUCCUAUUUUUCAGGAGGGUCCUGAACAGAAAAUAAAAUCCUAUUUUUCAGGAGGGUCCUGAACAGAAAAUAAAAUCCUAUUUUUCAGGAGGGUCCUGAACAGAAAAUAAAAUCCUAUUUUUCAGGAGGGUCCUGAACAGAAAAUAAAAUCCUAUUUUUCAGGAGGGUCCUGAACAGAAAAUAAAAUCCUAUUUUUCAGGAGGGUCCUGAACAGAAAAUAAAAUCCUAUUUUUCAGGAGGGUCCUGAACAGAAAAUAAAAUCCUAUUUUUCAGGAGGGUCCUGAACAGAAAAUAAAAUCCUAUUUUUCAGGAGGGUCCUGAACAGAAAAUAAAAUCCUAUUUUUCAGGAGGGUCCUGAACAGAAAAUAAAAUCCUAUUUUUCAGGAGGGUCCUGAACAGAAAAUAAAAUCCUAUUUUUCAGGAGGGUCCUGAACAGAAAAUAAAAUCCUAUUUUUCAGGAGGGUCCUGAACAGAAAAUAAAAUCCUAUUUUUCAGGAGGGUCCUGAACAGAAAAUAAAAUCCUAUUUUUCAGGAGGGUCCUGAACAGAAAAUAAAAUCCUAUUUUUCAGGAGGGUCCUGAACAGAAAAUAAAAUCCUAUUUUUCAGGAGGGUCCUGAACAGAAAAUAAAAUCCUAUUUUUCAGGAGGGUCCUGAACAGAAAAUAAAAUCCUAUUUUUCAGGAGGGUCCUGAACAGAAAAUAAAAUCCUAUUUUUCAGGAGGGUCCUGAACAGAAAAUAAAAUCCUAUUUUUCAGGAGGGUCCUGAACAGAAAAUAAAAUCCUAUUUUUCAGGAGGGUCCUGAACAGAAAAUAAAAUCCUAUUUUUCAGGAGGGUCCUGAACAGAAAGUAAAAUCCCAUUUUUCAUGAGGGUCCUGAAUAUAAAGUAAAUUUCCAUUUUUCAGGAAGGUCCUGAACAAAAAGUACAAUCCCAUUUUCCAGGAGGGUCCUGAACAGAAAGUAAAAUCUUAUUUCCCCAAGAGGGUCCUGAACAGAAAGUAAAAUCCCAUUUUUCAGGAGGGUCCUGAANNNN
RNAcentral lists this long non-coding RNA (4266 nucleotides) under Capsicum annuum. RNAcentral's name for it is "long non-coding RNA (CANN_LNC015121)". Lineage: Eukaryota; Viridiplantae; Streptophyta; Magnoliopsida; Solanales; Solanaceae. The record is from RNAcentral.